RNAcentral lists this ribosomal RNA (184 nucleotides) under Corynebacterium pseudodiphtheriticum 090104. RNAcentral describes it as "partial 16S ribosomal RNA". It matches the Rfam family "Bacterial small subunit ribosomal RNA", at positions 1 to 183 of the family's 1533-position model. Lineage: Bacteria; Bacillati; Actinomycetota; Actinomycetes; Mycobacteriales; Corynebacteriaceae. The record is from RNAcentral.
UUUUUAUGGAGAGUUUGAUCCUGGCUCAGGACGAACGCUGGCGGCGUGCUUAACACAUGCAAGUCGAACGGAAAGGCCUCUUCGGAGGUACUCGAGUGGCGAACGGGUGAGUAACACGUGGGUGAUCUGCCCUGCACUCUGGGAUAAGCCUGGGAAACUGGGUCUAAUACCGGAUAGGACCAUG